This 261-nucleotide ribosomal RNA is filed under the name uncultured archaeon. RNAcentral describes it as "partial 16S ribosomal RNA". It matches the Rfam family "Archaeal small subunit ribosomal RNA", at positions 748 to 1009 of the family's 1478-position model. The record is from RNAcentral.
CAGCCGUAAACUAUGCGCGUUAGGUGUAUCGGUGACCACGAGUUACCGAGGUGCCGAAGGGAAACCGUGAAACGUGCCGCCUGGGAAGUACGGUCGCAAGGCUGAAACUUAAAGGAAUUGGCGGGGGAGCACAACAACGGGUGGAGCCUGCGGUUUAAUUGGACUCAACGCCGGACAACUCACCGGGGACGACAGCAAUAUGUAGGCCAGGCUGAAGACCUUGCCUGAAUCGCUGAGAGGAGGUGCAUGGCGUAGACGUCU